CAGAGACUGCAAGCGUUAUUCGGAUUCACUGGGCGUAAAGGGUGCGCAGGCGGCCAAGUGUGUUAGGCGUGAAAGCCUGGGGCUUAACCCCAGAAUUGCACCUAAAACUACAUGGCUAGAGCAUUGGAGAGGGUAGCGGAAUUCACGGUGUAGCAGUGAAAUGCGUAGAUAUCGUGAGGAACACCAGAGGCGAAGGCGGCUACCUGGACAAUUGCUGACGCUCAGGCACGAAAGCGUGGGGAGCAAAAGGGAUUAGAUACCCCUGUAGUCCACGCCCUAAACGGUGCACACUAGGUCUUGGCGGAUUCGACCCCACCAGGGCCCAAGCUAACGCGUUAAGUGUGCCGCCUGAGGACUACGGUCGCAAGACUA
Molecule: ribosomal RNA, 372 nt
Filed under: uncultured organism
Description: bacterial SSU rRNA
Rfam family: Bacterial small subunit ribosomal RNA
Source: RNAcentral